ACCAAUGUGGGGUAGUGGUUUAAGUGUUGGACUAUGACUCUGGAGGCCAGGGUUCAAUUCCCAGCUUGGUC
Molecule: non-coding RNA, 71 nt
Organism: Phrynosoma platyrhinos (Desert horned lizard)
Lineage: Eukaryota; Metazoa; Chordata; Lepidosauria; Squamata; Phrynosomatidae
Source: the annotation of a GenBank genome assembly